RNAcentral lists this ribosomal RNA (246 nucleotides) under Clostridioides difficile. RNAcentral describes it as "partial 16S ribosomal RNA". It matches the Rfam family "Bacterial small subunit ribosomal RNA", at positions 905 to 1150 of the family's 1533-position model. Lineage: Bacteria; Bacillati; Bacillota; Clostridia; Peptostreptococcales; Peptostreptococcaceae. The record is from RNAcentral.
AGGAAUUGACGGGGACCCGCACAAGUAGCGGAGCAUGUGGUUUAAUUCGAAGCAACGCGAAGAACCUUACCUAAGCUUGACAUCCCAAUGACAUCUCCUUAAUCGGAGAGUUCCCUUCGGGGACAUUGGUGACAGGUGGUGCAUGGUUGUCGUCAGCUCGUGUCGUGAGAUGUUGGGUUAAGUCCCGCAACGAGCGCAACCCUUGUCUUUAGUUGCCAUCAUUAAGUUGGGCACUCUAGAGAGACU